AUUGCCAAUUCAGCAAUAUACUAAAUUGGAAUGAUACAAAGAAGAUUCUUCUGGCUCCUGUAUAAAGAUGAUAUUUGUGAGGCAUUCCAUACAUGA
This is a small nuclear RNA of Nomascus leucogenys (northern white-cheeked gibbon), 96 nucleotides long. Lineage: Eukaryota; Metazoa; Chordata; Mammalia; Primates; Hylobatidae. The record is from Ensembl.